Molecule: long non-coding RNA, 343 nt
Filed under: Prunus persica (peach)
Lineage: Eukaryota; Viridiplantae; Streptophyta; Magnoliopsida; Rosales; Rosaceae
Description: long non-coding RNA (PPER_LNC007814)
Source: RNAcentral
CCCGUCUAAAGAUUUGCACUUUUGAUUUUCUGAAUUUUUUGAUGGGCACCACUGAGAGUUUAACCCCAACUUUUUAGGAGAUACCCCGGCCGGAUAUAUCGUGCCCCCACAACUGUUCCUUCAGCCCAGAAAAAUUAUGUGGAACCUCUCGCCCCAAGGUUUGGCCAUGCACCCUUUCUUUUUUCUUUUAAUUUUUUUUAUAAAUAAACUAACUUAAACUUGUUGCAAGAUCUUUCUACUUUCAUUUAUUAAUUUUGAAGGGCCAAAACUCACCCUUGCGCUAAAAAAUGUAGGAAGCUCAACCUUCCGUACCUGAGAUGGGAGUUAGGGCGUAAGUUAUGAC